Molecule: long non-coding RNA, 339 nt
Filed under: Physcomitrium patens
Lineage: Eukaryota; Viridiplantae; Streptophyta; Bryopsida; Funariales; Funariaceae
Description: long non-coding RNA (PPAT_LNC013652)
Source: RNAcentral
AAAAUGAGAAUGAUGAAGAAGAUAUUAAUGGUUAGAUUGACAUAUUGUAGAAUAGAUAUUAGUUCGUUUUUAUAAGAUAUUAAUAAAAUAGAUUAAUAGUCCAUAGAAUAGUCAGUUCAAGAGGACGGAUGGUUGAUUUAGUUAUUAAAAGCACUUAAUUAUAAAAUUAUGAUUAGGAACUAGAAAUCAGUAGUAAUUAUAUAGGAGUUGUAGAAGUUUGUUGGGGGGCCAAACUGUGAUAGUCAUGAGCCGGAGUUAAGCUUGGUGCUUCCUCUGUGUUUUUUUUGUUUUCUUUGUUGUUGAAGAGUAAUGGAUAGUUUUUGAAUACUGAGAAGUGAG